Molecule: ribosomal RNA, 498 nt
Filed under: uncultured bacterium
Lineage: Bacteria
Description: partial 16S ribosomal RNA
Rfam family: Bacterial small subunit ribosomal RNA
Source: RNAcentral
AUUGAACGCUGGCGGAAUGCUUUACACAUGCAAGUCGAACGGCAGCACGGGGCAACCUGGUGGCGAGUGGCGAACGGGUGAGUAAUACAUCGGAACGUGCCCAGUCGUGGGGGAUAACGUAGCGAAAGCUACGCUAAUACCGCAUACGAUCUACGGAUGAAAGCGGGGGAUCGCAAGACCUCGCGCGAUUGGAGCGGCCGAUGGCAGAUUAGGUAGUUGGUGGGGUAAAGGCCCACCAAGCCGACGAUCUGUAGCUGGUCUGAGAGGACGACCAGCCACACUGGGACUGAGACACGGCCCAGACUCCUACGGGAGGCAGCAGUGGGGAAUUUUGGACAAUGGGCGAAAGCCUGAUCCAGCCAUUCCGCGUGCAGGAUGAAGGCCCUCGGGUUGUAAACUGCUUUUGUACGGAACGAAAAGGUGCUCUCUAAUACAGGGCGCUCAUGACGGUACCGUAAGAAUAAGCACCGGCUAACUACGUGCCAGCCGCCGCAGUAA